This 490-nucleotide ribosomal RNA is filed under the name uncultured bacterium. Its description in RNAcentral is "bacterial SSU rRNA". It matches the Rfam family "Bacterial small subunit ribosomal RNA", at positions 28 to 507 of the family's 1533-position model. The record is from RNAcentral.
GACGAACGCUGGCGGCGUGCCUAACACAUGCAAGUCGAACGUAUCAGUGCUUCGGCGCUGAUGAGUGGCGAACGGGUGAGUAACACGUGAGCAACUUGCCCGGGGGAGGGGGAUAACCAUCUGAAAAGAUGGCUAAUACCCCAUAUUCUCCUUUAUUGCCAGAUAAAGGAGGAAAGGUGGCGUAAGCUGUCGCCCCCGGAGAGGCUCGCGUCCCAUCAGCUAGUUGGUAGGGUAAUGGCUUACCAAGGCUAUGACGGGUAGCUGGUCUGAGAGGAUGGUCAGCCACACUGGGACUGAGACACGGCCCAGACUCCUACGGGAGGCAGCAGUGAGGAAUCUUGGGCAAUGGGCGAAAGCCUGACCCAGCGACGCCGCGUGGAGGAAGAAGGUCUUCGGAUCGUAAACUCCUGUUCGGGGAGAAGAACAAGAGAGAAGUUAAUAGCUUCUCUCUCUGACGGUAUCCCCGGAGAAAGCUCCGGCUAAUUACGUG